UGAACGCUGGCGGCGUGCCUACUACAUGCACGUCGAGCGACCAGAUGAGGAGCUUGCUCCUCUGACGUUAGCGGCGGACGGGUGAGUAACACGUGGAUAACCUACCUAUAAGACUGGGAUAACUUCGGGAAACCGGAGCUAAUACCGGAUAAUAUAUUGAACCGCAUGGUUCAAUAGUGAAAGACGGUUUUGCUGUCACUUAUAGAUGGAUCCGCGCCGCAUUAGCUAGUUGGUAAGGUAACGGCUUACCAAGGCAACGAUGCGUAGCCGACCUGAGAGGGUGAUCGGCCACACUGGAACUGAGACACGGUCCAGACUCCUACGGGAGGCAGCAGUAGGGAAUCUUCCGCAAUGGGCGAAAGCCUGACGGAGCAACGCCGCGUGAGUGAUGAAGGUCUUCGGAUCGUAAAACUCUGUUAUUAGGGAAGAACAAAUGUGUAAGUAACUAUGCACGUCUUGACGGUACCUAAUCAGAAAGCCACGGCUAACUACGUG
This 495-nucleotide ribosomal RNA is filed under the name uncultured bacterium. RNAcentral's name for it is "partial 16S ribosomal RNA". It matches the Rfam family "Bacterial small subunit ribosomal RNA", at positions 30 to 507 of the family's 1533-position model. The record is from RNAcentral.